AUGAACGCUGGCGGCGUGCCUCAUACCUGCAAGUCGCGCGAACGGACGAGAAGCUUGCUUCUCUGAUGUUAGCGGCGGACGGGUGAGUAACACGUGGAUAACUUACCUAUAAGACUGGGAUAACUUCGGGAAACCGGAGCUAAUACCGGAUGAUAUUUUGAACCGCAUGGUUCAAAAGUGAAAGACGGUCUUGCUGUCACUUAUAGAUGGAUCCGCGCUGCAUUAGCUAGUUGGUAAGGUAACGGCUUACCAAGGCAACGAUGCAUAGCCGACCUGAGAGGGUGAUCGGCCACACUGGAACUGAGACACGGUCCAGACUCCUACGGGAGGCAGCAGUAGGGAAUCUUCCGCAAUGGGCGAAAGCCUGACGGAGCAACGCCGCGUGAGUGAUGAAGGUCUUCGGAUCGUAAAACUCUGUUAUUAGGGAAGAACAUAUGUGUAAGUAACUGUGCACAUCUUGACGGUACCUAAUCAGAAAGCCACGGCUAACUACGUG
Molecule: ribosomal RNA, 496 nt
Filed under: uncultured bacterium
Lineage: Bacteria
Description: partial 16S ribosomal RNA
Rfam family: Bacterial small subunit ribosomal RNA
Source: RNAcentral